Oryza sativa Japonica Group (Japanese rice) is the source of this 4916-nucleotide non-coding RNA. The record is from RefSeq and is a predicted model, not a curated record. NCBI's taxonomy places the organism in Eukaryota, Viridiplantae, Streptophyta, Magnoliopsida, Poales, Poaceae.
UCUUCUCAUUAUCUGCUUUCUCUGCUCUGAGCUCUUCUCUUCAAACAGCCGCAGGCAGAGGGACGGGGGAGAUGGUGAGGGGCGGCGGCGGCGGCGGGAUGCUCAGGGCGGCGCUGGGCGACGGCGGCAAGCUGAGGGGCGGCGGCGGCUGGCAAGGGGCGGCGGCGGCUGGUGAGGGGCGCCGGCCGCUGGCUGCUCAGGGGCGGCGUUGGCGCGAGAUGCGGAGGGGUGGCGGCGGCUGGCUAGGGCCGGCGGCGGCUCACGGGCAAGGGGCGACGGCGGCAAGCGAGGGGCGGCGGCGGCUCACGGGCAAGGGGCGCCGGGCGGCGGCCACGUGCAGGGAGACGGAGGAGGAAGGCGGCGGGCGCACGGCGACAGCGCCCCAGAUCUGGUAAGUCCCGCUCCACAAAUCGUUGAAAAAUGGCAAAAUACGGGCACGGGGAACUCUGGGGACGACGGUGAUGGAGGGGGUGGCACGCCAGCGGUGAGCUCGCGCCGGAGGGGAGGUGGUUGACGAUGUCCGGAUGGGGGCGGGAUCUCGAUCCAGAGGCGCUCGGGCGAAAUGGCGUGAGGAGAGAGAUACGCUAUUUUUACCGCUUCUCUCUCCUACUAUGGCGUAUCCGCCAAAAUUGGCGUGUGGGUUAGCGUAUCCGCUGGAGGGCGUUUUUUGGCCUCUAUACGCUAAAACCGGGAUGGAGGAUUGGUUACCGUAUCUGCUGGGGAUGCUCUGAGCUGACGUUGCCGGAUGCCGGAGUUUCGCCGGCAAGCGUCGCCCCACCUACCGUCGGAGUCCGCCCGCAAGCGCCGCCGCCAUCGCCCGCGACCUCCUCCCGCGAGCGCUGCCGUCGGAUCCGUGCACCUCCGCGUGGGGCGCCGCCGCUGCUGCCGGCGCAACCUCCUUCCGCGAGCUACCGCCGCGGGUGACCUCCUCCUCUCAAAAGCAUCGCCGCCGCUGCCGGAUCCGCCCGCGGAGAUCUCUCUCCUAGUCUUGUUCGUUUCAGUGCUGAGGUCUGUGUGAAAAAGGAAGUUAAGAGCUCGUCGGAGACGUCGUCUUCCCUGGAUCCGGCCAAAACCGCGCCGCCGUAGCCGCCAUUUGCUGCACGCUGCAGUCCAGGUUGUUGCCCACUUGCCCCCGACAACACUGUCCCCAGGUCGUCGUCGUCGCCAUGGCCUUGGGCUCCUCCCGCCAUCGCUCCUCUGACCGAGUGAGGAAGGAGAAAGAAAGAUGAGGCAUUGAAGGUAAGGUCACUUCCACAAGGGGGCAAGCAAAGUAAGUGGUAAGGCAUAUCAAGAAAUUUCUCUUCAUUAUUUAGCCCAUAGCAAAACUAAUAUUCGAGAGGUAUAUACCACUCAAAUAUUCAACUGAAUAUGGAUUUCUUCUCAAUUAAGCGUAUACAACAGCCGUUCGUUUUCAUCACUUUUCAAUUAACCAUAAAGUAGCUAUGUUCUGAGGCGUGUUUUGGACGCCUUUCUUCUUCUAUUAAUGCAAUGAUAUGCAACUCUCUUGCAUAUUCAAGAAAAAACAAUGUUCUGAGGAGCUAUUAGUCUAAUAAAAGCUAUGCUUUAUUUACAUUGGUUUAGCAUGUUUUUAGAAUUAGGUAUCCAGGAAGAAGCUGGUAGAGAAGUGUUUUUGGCUUCUCUGUACAAUGAGGGCUUAUGCUUUUCUGCGGAUGCCCAGGAAGCUACAUCAUUGAUCAGUGCACAGUUUUUUGGAACAUUGAUGAGCGUACAUAGAAUGCAUCUCCCAUUUUUCCCAAAUCGCUGUAUCACAUGGUUUUGUCAAAUUCCUGUUUGAUGGAUGCAAUUUUGGCACAAACUUCCCUCAUUCCUGGCCUAUCAUUUGGUGAUUCCUUGGAACACAGAAGGCCAAUUUCAAUCAUCGGUAGGAUGAAACUUUGCAUCCACAGAUCAUGUACCACCUUUUCAUCUCGGGGCAUAUGGGGAUCUAAAACCUCACCAAUUGUGUUUGGGAAAGCAGAGUCCACAUACUUAUGAAGGCUGAGGUCGCUGCCGAAUUGUGUGUCAGUUGGCCGCUUCGCUGUGAACAUUUCAAGUAGAAGCACCCCAAAACUGUACACAUCACCAGCAGUUGAGAUUUUGCAUCCCAUCCCAUAUUCUGUAAGACAAUAUUAAUGAAAGUAUGCUAAAAACAACAAAAAGAUAGAUGUAAAGCUGAACAAAUAACCAGUUGUUGGAAUGGAAAAACUGACCAGGUGGGAUAUAUCCAAUGGUUCCUCCAAAACCAACAAAUCCUUCUGGCUUAGUAAAAUUUGAUGAUAGAAACUUAGCUGACCCAAAAUCACCAAUGCGUGAGGUCAUGUCAUAAUCCAAAAGAAUAUUACUCGGUUUCAAGUCACAGUGGAUCAGAGGAGGUACCAAUUGGUUGUGGAGAUAAUCUAGAGCAGAAGCAAUAUCUGCCGCUAUGCUUAUCCUUUGACCUAACGUUAGCACCCUCUUUGGGCUGCCUUGGUACAGCUUUGGGUGUACAAACAUUUCCAGGUUGCCAUUUGCCAUGAACUCAUAUAUUAGAGCUUUGAAUUCAUUAUUGUCAAAAUCCACCGUUGAGCACAAGGUUAUUGCUUUGACCAGGUUGCGAUGGCGAGUGCAUUUUAGUACUUCACACUCUCUAAAGAAGCUGUUAUGUGCACCUUGCUCAUCAAGAUGAAAUACCUUGAUGGCAACUAGGUCUGUAUCAAACUCGAAUCGUCCGAUGUAGACUGAUCCUGUGUGACUUGAGCUGAUUUUAUUGACUGGGGAGAACCAAUUGGUGGCUUUAAGAAUGUCCCCAUAUGAUACCCUCUUCAUUGUUUCUUUGUAGUUUGAAGAUUGUUGGGUUGUACUUUCCUUUCUAAGAGUGAACAUUAUGCAUAGAAUUGAGAAUAAAGCAACAGUAACGGUUGGAAUGAGAAUCACUAUCAGUAGCCAUCGUGUAUUGUUCUUCUUCCUUUUAGCAGGUGAGGUGGGGCAAAUCGGCAAUGCAAAUAUGGAUGUAAGUGCACACAACCCUUUAUUUCCUUUCAGGUUUACAGAAUUUGGUUUUCCAAAGAUACCUCCGGUGGGAACAACACCGGAUAAAUUGUUUUCCGAGAGAUCAAUUUGUUGAAUUGCCGGCAGUUGGCUUAAUGACUCUGGUAUACUCCCACUUAGGUUGUUGUUUUCCAAGUUAAGGGACAAUAGAACAGCACACUGUAUGAGUGAAGAAGGAAUUUGGCCUGAUAACUGGUUGUUGGAAAAAUUUAGGUGGCCAAGAUUGUGCAAUGUACCGACUUGCUGUGGUAUCAACCCUGAAAGUUUGUUAUUUGAAAGAUCCAAACCCAAGGAAAGAGAAGAUAUAUUGACGAGUUCAAUUGGUAUGGAUCCAUCAAGGUUGUUCACUGAUAAGUUUAGCAUUGCUAGCCUUAUGCACUGCCCUAUAUUUGCCGGUAUUUUACCAGAUAAGUUAUUAUUAUCAAGAUAAAGCUGGCCAAGUUGUGAAAGGUUACCAAUUGUAGAUGGGAUUUGUCCUGACAAUUCAUUCAUGGAUAGGUUCAAGAUAAACAAUUUUUUCAAGUUCCCAAUUGUCAUGGGAAUUUGCCCUGACUGCUUGUUUGUGUUGAUCUCAAGCAGAGAGAGAUUUAUAAGCUUCCCUAUCUCGUCUGGUAUUAUUCCUGUUAUUUGAUUGCCGCCAAAUUUCAACUUUUGUAGAUGUGUUGAAAGGUUGCCAAUUGAUUUUGGCAGGCUACCGUUCAGGUUAUUUCCAUCCAUCGACAGUUCUAAUAAUCGAGUACAAUUUGUCAGAGAUGUAAUUAAUGACCAGAUAUCAGCUCCUAGCCUGUUACUUCCUAGCAAAAGUUUGUUCAAGUUUCUCAAGGAUCCUAAUGCUGGUACAGAUCCGCUUAGAUGAUUGCUAGAGAGAUCAAGCAUUUGUAGGUUUGAUGCAUUGGCCAAGGAAGUUGGAAUUGAUCCAUCAAACCUAUUCAGAGACAUGACCAACGAUUUGAGAUUUGGAAGUGUGUGACCAAUGUCAGGAGGUAUCUUUCCAAUAAGACUGUUGUUUCCUAUACCAAAGAAUUCAAGCGACGACUUAUUGUACAGUGUGACUGGGACAAACCCUGAUAAUCUGUUUCCACUCAGAUCUAGCUUAUUCAGGUUUGCGAUUUGACUCAAGGAUUCUGGAAUUGGUCCUGAUAAAUUGUUUUGUCCUAGCAAUAUGGAACUUAGAGAUGAAAUAUUUGCUAGAGAUGGUGGUAUUCUUCCAGAAAGCAAGUUUCCAGUAAGGUCAAGAAAUCGAAGAGUCCCCAUGUUACGAGGAAGUGGAAUUUUGCCAACAAAAGAAUUCGUUUGUAGAUCAACAGUGACAAGCUUGGAUGAGCCAUUGAAAAAACUAGGAGGGAUCUCUCCUGAUAGGUUGUUACGCGAAAGAUUUAGCUCUAUGAGUGAUGAACUUCUUGCCAAGGAUUCAGGGAUGGUACCUUCAAGGUUGUUUCUUGCAAGCAGCAGACUUUGCAGAGAAGUGAGGUUGCCGAUGCAAUCAGGCAGGACCCCAGUGAGCUCCAUGGAGCUAAGGUUUAUGGAGACAACUUGAGCUGGAGAUGUCGUGCCACAUCUGACACCAUUCCAUCUGCAGAAAUGGACUGACGUGUUCCAUGAGAUGAAAGCACCGGUGGGGUCGGUUAUGCUUUGCUUGAAGCAUAGUAGAGCUUGUAAAUCGGUCUCUGAUCUGUUGCUGGGCUGCGCUGAUGAGGGUGUUAUUGUGUUGCAGGAUAGAAAGAUGAGGAGGCUGCAAAGAAGAAAUGAUGCAGGAUGAGAAGCAGCGGGGGGAGAUUUGGCUCCAACUGAUGGAAACAUCACUUCUAAGAUGGAGUUCUUGUUUUUCUUUUUUCGUGAGAACUGUUUGUGAUAUUAUAUAGCCUUGGAAAGUGCAGGCGUUUACUUGA